GCUUACUCUGUAUGCUCAAAUGUGGCCCGUUAUAGCCAACAGAAAAAAAGCGGAGGCCCGAAAAACAGGUGGGGGUCCUCCACCACCACCACUCACAGAGGCUGAGCAGUUGGCCCUCAGCCAAAACAGUGGGCGCCCUGUGGCCGAAGGCAUCUCUGCGGGGACAUCCUCUGAGUCAAUAACCCCGCAAGACACAAGUGCCUACAUAGGGGGAAAAUAAUGAAGAAACAUUGACAGCUGUUACAGAGGAGGAAGCAACAGAGACACUUUAUGAGGUUUACAUCUUUUAAUACUUUGUGUACAGGAAACACAGGUGACCAAUAAAGCCAGUUGAACAUAAAAUCUGUUUAUUCUUCUUUCAACAUGUUGAGGUGAUGGGUCAAAAGAAAUGAUUGUGACAUAUGGUGUCUCUGACUGCGCUUCCAUCUUGUAUGUCCGUGGGAGGGUCAGGAUGUUCAUGGUUUGGAUCACUGCUGAUGUUUGGUUCAGAAGGACAGUGUUCUCCUCUAAUUGUGGCAAUGUUGUGAAGAAUCACACAUGCCACAAUAAUGUCACAUGCCCUUUCUGGGGUGACCCUGAGUCUUUGCAGGCACUGGAACCGGGCCUUAAGCAUUCCGAUAGUCAUUUCAAUUCUGGCUCUUGUCCUGCAAUUAGCCAGAUUAUAUCGCUGCUGUGGGCCCGGUUCAGGGUCAGGGUAAGGGGUA
Long non-coding RNA from Haplochromis burtoni (Burton's mouthbrooder), 704 nucleotides. RefSeq lists it as uncharacterized. The record is from RefSeq and is a predicted model, not a curated record. NCBI's taxonomy places the organism in Eukaryota, Metazoa, Chordata, Actinopteri, Cichliformes, Cichlidae. The transcript is spliced from 2 exons.